RNAcentral lists this ribosomal RNA (475 nucleotides) under Phomopsis sp. STE-U2656. Its description in RNAcentral is "SSU rRNA". It matches the Rfam family "Bacterial small subunit ribosomal RNA", at positions 374 to 865 of the family's 1533-position model. The record is from RNAcentral. Lineage: Eukaryota; Fungi; Ascomycota; Sordariomycetes; Diaporthales; Diaporthaceae.
GCCUAACGGCUGAACUGGCAACUUGGAUGAAUGGACCCGGCUACCCCUUAAGAAAGAGGUGAGAGGUAGUGCAGGAGAUCCUUUUAAGGAGUAAAGUUCUAAAUAUAUGAUUGAUAAUGACAGUCUAUAUAUUAUGUCUUGACCAAUUACGUGCCAGCAGUCGCGGCAAUACGUAUGAGACUAGUGUUAUUCAUCUUAAAUAGGUUUAAAGGGUACCCAGACGGCAAAUGUCACCUUUAAAAGGUUAUUAUUUUGCUAGAGUUUUAUGUGAAGAGGCCGUACUCGUGAGUGGAGAGAUAAAAUUCUGUGAUACCUAGGGGACGGAUAAAGGCGAAGGCAGCCUCUUAUGUAGAAACUGACGUUGAAGGACGAAGGCAUUGCGGCACCAACAGGAUUAGGGACCCAAGUAGUCUUUGCAGACAAUGAUGAAUGCCAUAGGUUAGGUUAUUACUUAUCUAUAAAUGAAAGUGUAAGC